This is a long non-coding RNA of Thalassophryne amazonica, 242 nucleotides long. RefSeq lists it as uncharacterized. The record is from RefSeq and is a predicted model, not a curated record. The transcript has 3 exons. Lineage: Eukaryota; Metazoa; Chordata; Actinopteri; Batrachoidiformes; Batrachoididae.
UGGACAGGGCGCCAAUCAGUUGUAGUAUCUGAUAAUCCAUUCUAUAAAAAUCUUGAUUUACUGAUAUAAUCACCUGCCCGGUAAAUUUACCAGGGAGGUGAUGGGCUAGUGAUUAAGCAUUGGGCUUGAGACCAGAGGAUCCUCAGUUCAAAUCCCAGCUUGACCGGAAAAAUCACUAAGGGCCCUUGGGCAAGGUUCUUAAUCCCCUUGUUUCGCCGGGUGUGAAACUUGUGUGUCUGAAU